This is a long non-coding RNA of Asparagus officinalis (garden asparagus), 172 nucleotides long. RefSeq lists it as uncharacterized. NCBI's taxonomy places the organism in Eukaryota, Viridiplantae, Streptophyta, Magnoliopsida, Asparagales, Asparagaceae. The transcript is spliced from 3 exons. The record is from RefSeq and is a predicted model, not a curated record.
AAAAUUGGGAAGUCCAUGAAUGCUCUGUACAAGCACAAAUCAAAAUCAAUCCGGCAACUUGCCCAGACCCUCGUCAAAUUUAUUUAAGAUUUCACUCAAUAGGAAUGGGACCUAUUCCUUGGGUUCUGAUGUCAGAGGUAGCAUUCGGCCUAAUGAUGCUUCAACAACUUGG